Small nucleolar RNA from Cavia porcellus (domestic guinea pig), 137 nucleotides. The record is from RefSeq and is a predicted model, not a curated record. NCBI's taxonomy places the organism in Eukaryota, Metazoa, Chordata, Mammalia, Rodentia, Caviidae.
CUGGCCCUGAAUCAAGGCUGGAAGCUCCCUGAUGCUGUUGGUUUCAAGCAGGAAUCUAAAGAGAUGUCUUUCUAUGGUCUGUUGGCCAUUUCAGACCUCCGGCAGUGAAAUGGUCAAUUCCUUAGAAAGAAACACCU